UAAGCAGAUGGAUAACCGCAUCAAGCUCUUGGAAGAGAUUCUGUCUUUUCGUAUGCAGGGCGUUGAGUUCGAUAAUGGUGAUAUGUAUGUUGACGGCCAUAAGGCUGCUUCUGACGUUCGUGAUGAGUUUGUAUCUGUUACUGAGAAGUUAAUGGAUGAAUUGGCACAAUGCUACAAUGUGCUCCCCCAACUUGAUAUUAAUAACACUAUAGACCACCGCCCCGAAGGGGACGAAAAAUGGUUUUUAGAGAACGAGAAGACGGUUACGCAGUUUUGCCGCAAGCUGGCUGCUGAACGCCCUCUUAAGGAUAUUCGCGAUGAGUAUAAUUACCCCAAAAAGAAAGGUAUUAAGGAUGAGU
This 359-nucleotide ribosomal RNA is filed under the name uncultured prokaryote. Its description in RNAcentral is "partial 16S ribosomal RNA". The record is from RNAcentral.